UUUAGAGCAGCAGGAACUCUGAGAGGCUGCAGGCGCAUCAGUGAGUUUGCAGCUGCUGCGCUGGGGAGGGGGGAGAGAGCUGAAGCAGAACCUACCGUUGUUAAAAGAAAUGUGUUUAACUUUGAAAAUGUGGGCGCAAUUUUAAUUGUCAAAGACUCCAGCGAACCAUUAGUUCAUUUUGCUCAAAUAGAAAUUGAGGCCUGCCUCUAAUACUGGUCCUCCUUCCAAUAAAGGCCUGGAGCUUGAUGGGCUUGAGUCAAAUACAGGCCCGGGCCUGUAUUAGAGGAUUUACGGUACUUUGGGCUAGUCGCGACCUCUGGGGAAGGCUGGCAGCAUCAGAAAAGUGCGUUGCCAUGUUUAAGCAUUUAUUAUUUAAAGGUCAUGCAUUUUUAAACCUUUUGAGAACAAAGGUUUGCACAAUAUAUGAUCAAAUAUAACCGACACUAGAUGUCAUUUAUCCUAAAGAUCAGUUAUUUUCAUCAGCCUGAAUUCGUACCUAGAAUUGAAACACUGUUUCAGUGAAGCUCCGCCCACGUCCACUCCGACUAAAUGUGUGUAGAGCAGUGUCAUAGGGUGUGUCCGAAUCCACAGGAAGGAAGGACGCUUAUGCGUACGGGUCCUUGAAGACCGCUAAAACCGGAACCCAGCGGCUCUGAAUUCGGACAGUCUAGCCUUCACCUCUACGGUGGCCCGUAGGUCCCGUCACAGCCGCGACGGCAGCUACACGCAAAGGAAAAAUGCUAAAGCUAGCGAAAAUGGAGCAGGAAUGUUAAGGAGCUGCAGCAGCUUCACGUCCAUCAGCAGCGUUUGUUCACAACCGUUUUCAGGUCAGCAUGCACUGUGCUGCACAUCUGCCUCUGUGCUGGUGAAGUUGUGGGUCUGGAGGAUGAGCGUGAGGAAGAUGUGUGUGGAGGAGGUCAGUGGUGCUCUGUCCUGCAGGAGGUACCAGCAGACCACCACUACUGUUAACAGGCAAGUCAUCCACAGAGACGUAACAGCCGUCGUCUGAGCCCGCCCAGCAGGCCCUGUGGAUGGACGAUGGAGUGGACAGUGAGAGGAAGCGUCCCAAAGCUCUCUCUGCAGACCGUCCUGUAUGAUGUUCCUCUGACCAGAACCGUCCAGCCACGGGUCUGCUCCAGCCCUCCAUCCACGUCUGGAUCCUCCUGCAGCAGAUCCAGCUGCACUGUUUAAGACUUCCUGCUCACUCAGUUUAAAUAAAUGAUCCAGGAAGAGUCACUCAGGCUAAUCCUGCUUUAACCGUACAUAACUGGUCCAUACUGGUUCUGAUCUGUAAAUAAGUGUAACCUAUUAGAAAUAAUCUUGUCUCCUUACCAUCUUUUCAUUUUCUGUUCAUGUAACAUGUUCAAAAACAUCUGUAAUAAUAAAACUGGUGAUAAAACCAAUGACCAGAAAGAGUCAUCAGUUAGUAUUUGUUUUAAAGAGCAAGUCACCCCCAAACCAACUUUUUUUUGCUGAUAAACAACAUGAACACGUGUCUAAUCAUGCUGCAGACAUGUGUCGUCAAUGAUUUGGAACUUCAGUGCAUUUUAAAUUUUAAAUAUUCUGCCUAAAACUGUCAGUGUUGUGCCGUUGUCAGGUAAAAACUCUGCACUGUAUUUGAAUUUAAAUCUGCCACCGCUAUUGGCUAAGAGGUAUGUUAUGAUGUAAACUGGUACAUUAUGAUGUCACAAUGCCAUUGUAAGCCUGUGUGUGUGUGUGUGUGUGUGUGUGUGUGUGUGUGUGCGUGUGUGUGUGUGUGUGUGCGUGUGUGUG
This 1773-nucleotide long non-coding RNA is filed under the name Nothobranchius furzeri (turquoise killifish). RNAcentral's name for it is "lncRNA (ENSNFUG00015002213.1)". Lineage: Eukaryota; Metazoa; Chordata; Actinopteri; Cyprinodontiformes; Nothobranchiidae. The record is from RNAcentral.